GCGCGAGCGAUCAUGAGCCGCGAAGCGAUUACAAAUCCUCGUCGACGCACGAGGGCCGUGCGUGGUCUCGCGAGGGGUCCUACAAUCUGAGAGAGGAGAGNNNNNUGGACGCCAAAGGGAAACGAAGUGAGAGUUGUCUUAUGAAAUUGUGGACUUGGAGUAUGAAGCUAGAAGGAAGAGGAAAGAAAGAGGCGAUGGCGAGG
Molecule: unclassified non-coding RNA, 203 nt
Filed under: Hevea brasiliensis (rubber tree)
Lineage: Eukaryota; Viridiplantae; Streptophyta; Magnoliopsida; Malpighiales; Euphorbiaceae
Source: RNAcentral